RNAcentral lists this ribosomal RNA (495 nucleotides) under uncultured bacterium. RNAcentral describes it as "partial 16S ribosomal RNA". It matches the Rfam family "Bacterial small subunit ribosomal RNA", at positions 28 to 507 of the family's 1533-position model. The record is from RNAcentral.
GACGAACGCUGGCGGCGUGCCUAAUACAUGCAAGUAGAACGCUGAAGGAGGAGCUUGCUCUUCUGGAUGAGUUGCGAACGGGUGAGUAACGCGUAGGUAACCUGCCUGGUAGCGGGGGAUAACUAUUGGAAACGAUAGCUAAUACCGCAUAACAGUAGAUGUUGCAUGACAUUUACUUAAAAGGUGCAAUUGCAUCACUACCAGAUGGACCUGCGUUGUAUUAGCUAGUUGGUGGGGUAACGGCCCACCAAGGCGACGAUACAUAGCCGACCUGAGAGGGGGAUCGGCCACACUGGGACUGAGACACGGCCCAGACUCCUACGGGAGGCAGCAGUAGGGAAUCUUCGGCAAUGGACGGAAGUCUGACCGAGCAACGCCGCGUGAGUGAAGAAGGUUUUCGGAUCGUAAAGCUCUGUUGUAAGAGAAGAACGAGUGUGAGAGUGGAAAGUUCACACUGUGACGGUAUCUUACCAGAAAGGGACGGCUAACUACGUG